RNAcentral lists this ribosomal RNA (492 nucleotides) under uncultured bacterium. RNAcentral's name for it is "partial 16S ribosomal RNA". It matches the Rfam family "Bacterial small subunit ribosomal RNA", at positions 30 to 507 of the family's 1533-position model. The record is from RNAcentral.
AUUGAACGCUGGCGGCAUGCUUUACACAUGCAAGUCGAACGGUAACAGGCCUUCGGGUGCUGACGAGUGGCGGACGGGUGAGUAAUGCAUCGGAACGUACCCAGAGGUGGGGGAUAACGCAGCGAAAGCUGUGCUAAUACCGCAUGUGAUCUGAGGAUGAAAGCGGGGGACCGAGCAGCAAUGUUUGGCCUCGCGCCUUUGGAGCGGCCGAUGUCGGAUUAGCUAGUUGGUGGGGUAAAGGCCUACCAAGGCGACGAUCCGUAGCUGGUCUGAGAGGACGACCAGCCACCCUGGUACUGAGACACGGCCCAGACUCCUACGGGAGGCAGCAGUGGGGAAUUUUGGACAAUGGGCGCAAGCCUGAUCCAGCAAUGCCGCGUGCGGGAAGAAGGCCUUCGGGUUGUAAACCGCUUUUGGCAGGAACGAAACGGUGUCCGCUAAUACCGGGCGCUAAUGACGGUACCUGCAGAAUAAGCACCGGCUAACUACGUG